Molecule: signal recognition particle RNA, 267 nt
Filed under: Bacillota bacterium
Lineage: Bacteria; Bacillati; Bacillota
Description: Firmicutes bacterium (sediment metagenome) signal recognition particle sRNA large type
Rfam family: Bacterial large signal recognition particle RNA
About the family: The signal recognition particle (SRP) is a universally conserved ribonucleoprotein involved in the co-translational targeting of proteins to membranes. Archaeal SRP consists of a 7S RNA and homologues of the eukaryotic SRP19 and SRP54 proteins.
Source: RNAcentral
CCGUGCUAGGUGGGGAGCUAGCGGUUCCCUGUACCCGCAAUCCGCUACAGCGGGACUGAAUCCCCGCCCGAGGCCCGGGGCGUGAGGGCCCGGUCCGCGGCGGUCCGACGACGAGGGUCGGGUCCUGCGCAACGGGAUCUGACGAACCCCGCCAGGCCCGGGAGGGAGCAACGGUAAGUCAGUCCUCCCGUGUGCCGCAGGGGCACCUGACCGGAGCCGGUCCCGCGGCGCCCGCCUCGUGUCCUGGGGUCGACGGUGGGUGCACGG